Long non-coding RNA from Gossypium arboreum, 481 nucleotides. RefSeq lists it as uncharacterized. The transcript has 3 exons. NCBI's taxonomy places the organism in Eukaryota, Viridiplantae, Streptophyta, Magnoliopsida, Malvales, Malvaceae. The record is from RefSeq and is a predicted model, not a curated record.
UUUUAUUAAAAGAAAAGGGGUGAAAAGAACAAAGUUUUGUCCAUCUUUGUUCAUCAUAGCUGAAAGUUAGAGAAGAGAAAGGAGAGGAGAAAGCUCUUGAGUAUUUGGUCAUUAGGAGGAGGAAAAUUGAAGGCGGUUCGUGUGUGGAUCUCAUCAGCAUAUCGUCGCAAACAGGAAAUCCCCAACCAUAGUGGGCUUGGAGCUGUGAGGGAAUUCGGAGUGGCCACCAGUUCUGAAAGUUUGAUUUUCUUCUGGUGAACUGGACAUCCUUUUAAUUACGUUUGAGGUUUUGGGCUUUUAAAUGUAAUAAGGUGGCUUAUUCAUUUUUGAUGGUUUUUAAUAUGUAUUACUAAGAUAUGUAACACCCCGAAUUUGGGCCUAGAAGUAUUGGGCCUUGAGUGGGGGUCCGUAAGGAGGUUGUAUAUAGGUAUUUAAUUGUGCAAUGAAAUGAAACAAUUAAAUGUUUGCUAUUAGUGGUUAA